GACGAACGCUGGCGGCGUGCUUAACACAUGCAAGUCGAACGGAAAGGCCCUGCUUUUGUGGGGUGCUCGAGUGGCGAACGGGUGAGUAACACGUGAGUAACCUGCCCUUGACUUUGGGAUAACUUCAGGAAACUGGGGCUAAUACCGGAUAGGAGCUCUUGCUGCAUGGUGGGGGUUGGUAAGUUUCGGCGGUUGUGGAUGGACUCGCGGCUUAUCAGCUUGUUGGUGGGGUAGUGGCUUACAAAGGCUUUGACGGGUAGCCGGCCUGAGAGGGUGACCGGCCACAAGGCUACUGCGGGACGGCGCAGAAUCCAACCGGAGGCAGUGGGGGGGAAUAUGACGCAAUGAGCGGAAGCCAGAUGCGACAACGCCGGGUGCGGGAUGACGUGUUACGAGUUAAGAACCGCUUUCGCCUGAGACGAAGAGGGAGUGACGGUAAUGAGUAAAGAAGCACCGGCUAACUACGUG
RNAcentral lists this ribosomal RNA (468 nucleotides) under uncultured bacterium. RNAcentral describes it as "partial 16S ribosomal RNA". It matches the Rfam family "Bacterial small subunit ribosomal RNA", at positions 28 to 507 of the family's 1533-position model. The record is from RNAcentral.